This 580-nucleotide ribosomal RNA is filed under the name uncultured Phialophora. Its description in RNAcentral is "eukaryotic LSU rRNA". The stretch from base 238 to 391 matches the Rfam family "5.8S ribosomal RNA". The record is from RNAcentral. Lineage: Eukaryota; Fungi; Ascomycota; Leotiomycetes.
AAGUCGUAACAAGGUUUCCGUAGGUGAACCUGCGGAAGGAUCAUUAAUAAACCUAGUCGUUCGCGUACAUAGGGGCAACCCUCGCGUGAUGUCAGCAAUACCUAGGUAACCCUUGAAUAAACUACCCUUGUUGCUUUGGCGGGCCGCCGUCUCGGCCAGCGGCUUCGGCUGCUGCGCGCCCGCCAGAGGACCACAACUCUUGUUUUUAGUGAUGUCUGAGUACUAUAUAAUAGUUAAAACUUUCAACAACGGAUCUCUUGGUUCUGGCAUCGAUGAAGAACGCAGCGAAAUGCGAUAAGUAAUGUGAAUUGCAGAAUUCAGUGAAUCAUCGAAUCUUUGAACGCACAUUGCGCCCUUUGGUAUUCCGAAGGGCAUGCCUGUUCGAGCGUCAUUAUAACCACUCAAGCUCUCGCUUGGUAUUGGGGUGCGCGGUUCCGCGGCCUCUAAAGUCAGUGGCGGUGCCUGUCGGCUCUACGCGUAGUAAUACUCCUCGCGUCUGGGUCCGGUAGGUUGCUUGCCAACAACCCCCAAUUUUUUACAGGUUGACCUCGGAUCAGGUAGGGAUACCCGCUGAACUUAA